This 460-nucleotide ribosomal RNA is filed under the name Absidia sichuanensis. Its description in RNAcentral is "Absidia sp. HZ-2022d partial large subunit ribosomal RNA". It matches the Rfam family "Eukaryotic large subunit ribosomal RNA", at positions 288 to 649 of the family's 3401-position model. Lineage: Eukaryota; Fungi; Mucoromycota; Mucoromycetes; Mucorales; Cunninghamellaceae. The record is from RNAcentral.
UAAAGUUGGAGGUAAAUCUCUCCUAAAGCUAAAUAUUGACGAAAGACCGAUAGCGAACAAGUACCGUGAGGGAAAGAUGAAAAGCACUUUGAAAAGAGGGUCAAAAAGUACGUGAAAUUGCUGAAAGGGAACCGUAUGAAAUCAGCUUGUCUUUUUGGUAAUCAACCUGGACCUCGGUCUGGGUGCACUUGCCAGUGAGACAGCCUGCGACAAUUCGAUUUGGAGGAAAAAAUUAUUGGGAAUGUGGCCUCUGCCUUUGGUUGAGGUGUUAUAGCCCUUUAAAAAAUACUCUGGGUUGGAUUGAGGACUGCAGCGAGCUCCCUCGGGGGCAUGGGUUGUGGGUGCUUCGCUUCGGUAAAAGGGAAAUCUCUACUUCGGGUAGUGUCUUUUUUAUCGAGGUGAACCCGCCUAUAUUCCCUUUUUCUCGCUUAGGUCGUAGGCAUAAUGAUUUUAUAUGACC